UUUGUAUAUCUAAAAUCCCUUAAUCAACUUUCCUCUCAGUGUCUCUCUCUCGUUCCUUGCAAAUCCGACUGUUGACGAAGAAGCCAACGCCUUCCGCCCUCUCCUGCGAAUCUACGAUGAAGAUGAUAGACGACAACAAAGCAAGCAGAAGCCAUGGUGGACGACGAAGCUAGAAGUCAACGCCUCUGCCCCCGCCUUCCCCUGCGAAUCUGUGAAUCUGGUGCUACUUCAGAGUGCAAUUAGGGUUAUGAACUAAAUUAUGAAUACAUUCUCUCCACCAGAAGUGAUGCUUUUCCAGGAUGAAACAGUGGUGAAGAAGUGCAGAAAGUAAGAUCUAUU
Molecule: long non-coding RNA, 339 nt
Organism: Ipomoea nil (Japanese morning glory)
Lineage: Eukaryota; Viridiplantae; Streptophyta; Magnoliopsida; Solanales; Convolvulaceae
Exons: 3
Source: RefSeq, a predicted model, not a curated record